UUACGAGGUCAGGACACUGUGAGGAUUGACAGAUUGAAAGCUCUUUCUUGAUUCAGUGGGUGGUGGUGCAUGGCCGUUCUUAGUUGGUGGAGUGAUUUGUCUGGUUAAUUCCGUUAACGAACGAGACCUUAACCUGCUAAAUAGUCACGCGAACCGGUCCGCAAGGGCUCAAAGUUCGCGGCUCGACUUCUUAGAGGGACUAUUCGCACCCGCCAGCGAAUGGAAGUUUGAGGCAAUAACAGGUCUGUGAUGCCCUUAGAUGUUCUCGGCCGCACGCGCGUUACACUGACGGAGUCAACGAGCGUUUUUCCUUGCCCGAUAGGGUUGGGUAACCUCCUGAAACUCCGUCGUGAUGGGGAUAGAUCAUUGCAAUUAUUGAUCUUGAACGAGGAAUUCCUAGUAGGCACGAGUCAUCAACUCGCGCCGAUUACGUCCCUGCCCUUUGUACACACCGCCCGUCGCUCCUACCGAUUGAACGGUCCGGCGAGAACUCCGGAUGGUC
RNAcentral lists this ribosomal RNA (502 nucleotides) under Vermamoeba vermiformis. RNAcentral describes it as "SSU rRNA". It matches the Rfam family "Eukaryotic small subunit ribosomal RNA", at positions 1215 to 1719 of the family's 1831-position model. The record is from RNAcentral. Lineage: Eukaryota; Tubulinea; Echinamoebida; Vermamoebidae.